Cyprinus carpio (common carp) is the source of this 1183-nucleotide long non-coding RNA. RefSeq lists it as uncharacterized. The record is from RefSeq and is a predicted model, not a curated record. NCBI's taxonomy places the organism in Eukaryota, Metazoa, Chordata, Actinopteri, Cypriniformes, Cyprinidae.
GACUGGUACCAUAGCUGCGCGCCCAGCAUCAUCGGCAUCAUCAUAAUCAAUAUAAUCAAUGCUGCUUUGGAGAGUUUGCCACCUGUUGUAAACGUUUCAGUGUCAGCGCGCGUCCAGAAAGACCAGAGCGGCUUGUUUUGAGAAGAAAUCCAUUGUUUGGUGAGCUUGAGAGGCACAUUUAGACAGCAGAGGAGACAUUGUGGAUUACAGACACGCUGCGUGUUUCGUGUGUUCCAUGUGCAGUUGCACGAGGAUGAGGAUGAUGAUGAUGACGGAGGGAUUCAUGAGAUGUGUUUCUGCAGUCAUGACCUCCAGACCACCAGAGAACCAGCACUCGGGCCUAAAACCUCUUUCUGAGGGUUGGUUUCUCUCUUUGGUUAUCUAGCUGUAUGAGUUUUAACACUUUUCAUAAAGCUAGAUAACCGAAAGUAGAAAUAAUUCUCAAAAUCUGUUGAAAACGAGUAGUCUGAAAGCAAGAGAGCGUCCACUUGUACCUCAGAGUCUUAUUUCCAUCCACAAUAUGGCACAAUAAAGUAACAACAACAAGAGCACAGCCAUCAGAGAGCAUAAGAGAUGCUUGGAGGAACAUGGCAGUCUCCAUUUGCUACAUCUUCCCUUCUCCGCCUACCCAGAAAGCCCCAGUGCCAUCUGUACCCCUGUGGGGUGCGGGAGAAUCCGUGCCAGUGCCAGCGGUGACAAACCCUCGUCAGCGUCACAGGGAGGAAGGGAGGCCAUCUUGACGGAGAUCUUACACGAGAAGCUAAGAUGGCUGGGCUGGCACAUGAGAUGUGGACUGGACUCGGUGGAUUCGAUUAAUUAUGCAUCCAGAGAGAACAAUGGGGAGCCUCAAGCACCUGAAAGUUUAAGAGGCACAUAAAAUCAUGUUGAUGAUGAUGAGGAUGAUGUGUGUGUGAAAAGGACAAGAGCAAGAAAAGAAUUGUACUGUACUGUAUUAUACAGUGUUUUCAUUAAGAUCAUGUACAUCAUUUUAAUACAUUUCUUUACAGUUAGCCUACUUAAAGAUAUUCACAUCUUUCUAAACCUGUAUUUUUUUUCAUUUUUAUUAAUGUAUUUUUUGUUGCCCUGAUAACUGUUAAAAAUGAAAAAUAUGAUGUGCAUCUACAUACAUACAUUUUUGUAUUUUUACAGCCUAUUUAUUUCCUGUUUUUUUAUAUUGAGUUUU